RNAcentral lists this ribosomal RNA (253 nucleotides) under uncultured bacterium. RNAcentral describes it as "partial 16S ribosomal RNA". It matches the Rfam family "Bacterial small subunit ribosomal RNA", at positions 524 to 776 of the family's 1533-position model. The record is from RNAcentral.
UACGAAGGGGGCGAGCGUUGUUCGGAAUUACUGGGCGUAAAGGGCGCGCAGGCGGCUCUGAAAGUCAGAUGUGAAAGCCCCGGGCUUAACCUGGGAAUUGCAUUUGAUACUCUGGAGCUUGAGUACGGGAGAGGAGAGUGGAAUUCCCAGUGUAGAGGUGAAAUUCGUAGAUAUUGGGAAGAACACCGGUGGCGAAGGCGGCUCUCUGGGCCGAUAUUGACGCUGAGGAGCGAAAGCGUGGGGAGCGAACAGG